CAGGAGGAUGGAGAUGAGUCA
This 21-nucleotide microRNA is filed under the name Mus musculus (house mouse). RNAcentral describes it as "mmu-miR-6916-5p". The record is from miRBase by way of RNAcentral. Lineage: Eukaryota; Metazoa; Chordata; Mammalia; Rodentia; Muridae.